GCAAUGGUAGUUCAAUGGUAGAAUUUUCGCCUCCCAUGCGGGAGACCCGGGUUCAAUUUCUGGCCAAUGCA
Molecule: transfer RNA, 71 nt
Filed under: Papio anubis (olive baboon)
Lineage: Eukaryota; Metazoa; Chordata; Mammalia; Primates; Cercopithecidae
Rfam family: tRNA
About the family: Transfer RNA (tRNA) molecules are approximately 80 nucleotides in length. Their secondary structure includes four short double-helical elements and three loops (D, anti-codon, and T loops).
Source: Rfam by way of RNAcentral